This is a long non-coding RNA of Homo sapiens (human), 672 nucleotides long. The record is from Ensembl. NCBI's taxonomy places the organism in Eukaryota, Metazoa, Chordata, Mammalia, Primates, Hominidae.
CCAAGAGUGAGGGCUGGGGAGAAGGGAAGCCCCAAGGGGGAGUUUCAGGGCCCUGAGUUAGGCUUCAGAGGCAGCGCUGGGUAGGCCUGAGAGGAGCAAGCACAGUGGGAGGCCCAACCUCAGACCACACUCAUCUGGAUUUCCAGAGGUCUCCAGGAGGCAAGGACUAUUUGGUGGCCCUGCUUCACCCAACUGCUCUUCUAGCAUUCUCCACAUCAUGUGCUAUGAGUUGGAUUCGAUCAGAAUUCUCACCACUGGUUCUAAGUCAGAAUCAUCUGGAGAGCAAGAAGCAGAAUGUCUGAAAUCUUCCUAUGGUACAGAACUGCUGGAUGAGACCAUCAGUGGGAUCCCUCACCUGCAGGCCAUGAGGACCGUUUUAUGGGCUCUAAACUGCUCACGGCUCACAACAAUGACAACAUCAGUCAAGAUGUCUCGACUCCGGAGACGAUUAAGGUUGAGAAGAACAUCACUGGCAUGGCGGGUGAACUGGAUACAGCUGUCAGCCGGCGAGGCCAUUUUGUCUUCACUUGAAAAAAGAGGCCAAAAUCCUGUUAGUCCUCCAGAACCUGUUUCCUGCUUGCCACAGGUAUCAGAGCAGGUGGCUUAGCCUGCUAAGGUACAGAAUGCAACUCAGGUCCCUUGUAUUUGAUCUUUGAACAAUUCAUAGUCCAA